GCAGGUGAUUGGUCUAGACAGUGCAGGUGAUUGGUCUCGACAGAGCAGGUGAUUGGUCUCGACAGUGCAGGUGAUUGGUCUCGACAGAGCAGGUGAUUGGUCUAGACAGUGCAGGUGAUUGGUCUAGACAGUGCAGGUGAUUGGUCUCGACAGAGCAGGUGAUUGGUCUCGACAGAGCAGGUGAUUGGUUUCGACAGAGCAGGUGAUUGGUCUCGACAGAGCAGGUGAUUGGUCUAGACAGAGCAGGUGAUUGGUCUCGACAGAGCAGGUGAUUGGUCUAGACAGAGCAGGUGAUUGGUCUCGACAGAGCAGGUGAUUGGUCUCGACAGAGCAGGUGAUUGGUCUAGACAGUGCAGGUGAUUGGUCUAGACAGUGCAGGUGAUUGGUCUAGACAGAGCAGGUGAUUGGUCUCGACAGUGCAGGUGAUUGGUCUCGACAGAGCAGGUGAUUGGUCUAGACAGUGCAGGUGAUUGGUCUAGACAGUGCAGGUGAUUGGUCUCGACAGAGCAGGUGAUUGGUCUCGACAGUGCAGGUGAUUGGUCUCGACAGAGCAGGUGAUUGGUCUCGACAGUGCAGGUGAUUGGUCUC
This is a long non-coding RNA of Oncorhynchus keta (chum salmon), 588 nucleotides long. RefSeq lists it as uncharacterized. The record is from RefSeq and is a predicted model, not a curated record. The transcript is spliced from 6 exons. Lineage: Eukaryota; Metazoa; Chordata; Actinopteri; Salmoniformes; Salmonidae.